RNAcentral lists this ribosomal RNA (1031 nucleotides) under Methylomonas sp. enrichment culture. Its description in RNAcentral is "bacterial SSU rRNA". It matches the Rfam family "Bacterial small subunit ribosomal RNA", at positions 224 to 1302 of the family's 1533-position model. Lineage: Bacteria; Pseudomonadati; Pseudomonadota; Gammaproteobacteria; Methylococcales; Methylococcaceae. The record is from RNAcentral.
GAUGAGCCUAUGUCGGAUUAGCUAGUUGGUGGGGUAAAGGCCUACCAAGGCGACGAUCCGUAGCUGGUCUGAGAGGGAUGAUUCAGCCACACUGGGACUGAGACACGGCCCAGACUCCUAGUGUGUGAAGAAGGCCUGAGGGUUGUAAAGCACUUUCAAUGGGAAGGAACACCUAUCGGUUAAUACCCGGUAGACUGACAUUACCCAUACAAGAAAGCACCGGCUAACUCCGUGCCAGCAGCCGCGGUAAUACGGAGGGUGCAAGCGUUAAUCGGAAUUACUGGGCGUAAAGCGUGCGUAGGCGGUUUUUUAAGUCAGAUGUGAAAGCCCUGGGCUUAACCUGGGAACUGCAUUUGAUACUGGGGAACUAGAGUUGAGUAGAGGAGAGUGGAAUUUCAGGUGUAGCGGUGAAAUGCGUAGAGAUCUGAAGGAACACCAGUGGCGAAGGCGGCUCUCUGGACUCAAACUGACGCUGAGGUACGAAAGCGUGGGUAGCAAACAGGAUUAGAUACCCUGGUAGUCCACGCCGUAAACGAUGUCAACUAACCGUUGGGUUCUUAAAGAACUUAGUGGUGGAGCUAACGUAUUAAGUUGACCGCCUGGGGAGUACGGCCGCAAGGCUAAAACUCAAAUGAAUUGACGGGGGCCCGCACAAGCGGUGGAGCAUGUGGUUUAAUUCGAUGCAACGCGAAAACCCUUACCUACCCUUGACAUCCUCGGAACUUGUCAGAGAUGACUUGGUGCCUUCAGGAACCGAGAGACAGGUGCUGCAUGGCUGUCGUCAGCUCGUGUCGUGGAGAUGUUGGGUUAAGUUCCGUAACGAGCGCAACUCUUAUUCCUUAGUUGCCAGCGCGUCAUGGCGGGAACUCUAGGAAGACUGCCCGUGAUAAGCCGGAGGAAGGUGGGGACGACGUCAAGUCAUCAUGGCCCUUAUGGGUAGGGCUACCCCCGUGCUACAAUGAUCGGUAACGAUGGUGGCGAACUCGCGAGAGCCAGCCAAUCCCAAAAAGCCGAAUCUAGUCCGGAUUGCA